Molecule: long non-coding RNA, 868 nt
Organism: Daphnia magna
Lineage: Eukaryota; Metazoa; Arthropoda; Branchiopoda; Diplostraca; Daphniidae
Exons: 2
Source: RefSeq, a predicted model, not a curated record
GACCAGAGAGGCGGAGCUCAAAGUGAACGAAAAGAAAGAGAGAGAGAGAGAAAAAGGAGGAAGGAGGCACUUGCAAACGGUCCUCUGUUUAGUGUGUGAAUGUUAUAUGCAGCAAGUCUUAUACUUUAUAUACAUUAAGUUCAUCACUCGCUCUGUCGAUCGUCUUCAGAUGGCCGAUGAGACGAACGUGUUGGGCGUUCGGCUUCCAAGUCACGCUGUUCUUCCGUGACGUCAUCGUUGUACAGACCAGGAGAAAGAGAUUCAAAGCGUCAUUUAUUUAUCUUUUUUUUUUCAGAUUUAGGUAGUAACUUAGAGGAAGAUGCAGCUGUUAUUUCGUGUUCUAAAUUUAGCCUGGCGUUCAAUCGCCUUUUUUUUCUUUUUUUUUUUUAAAUAUAAUUUCAAAUUUUCUAUCGGUUUAAGAAAUGAUUCAUUUAUGUUUUUUUUCUCUUCCGCAUCUGGUCGUCCGUUCUCAAUCGGCUAAUAAACAAACUUAUGUCGCUGUUUGGAAGAAAAGGAGAAAAAAAAGGAGCACAAGUCUGCAAUGUUUAGUGCAAGAGAAAGGUGGACCAAUAAAAGACGUUGAUAUAGUACAGGAGAAUUAUUUCCGCAUAUCACUGGACCUUCUAGCAUCAGGGGUGGGGGCUAUAUUACAGCUAAGGAAAAAAAAAAACAACAAUAAAAAGAUUGAGCCGUUGGAGCGGUUUCUUGAUUAUAAAAACGAGGCGGUGAAAGAGAAUGAGAAAAACAAUCAAACGAAAGAAAAAAGAAAAAAAAGAAAAAAACCCAAGUACAGUAAAGUUUUCGGUUCACGGCGCUAUGGGAUGGUCCCGUUAUGGGCCGUCCGGUCGACUGGUGGUGCUAUAUUAUA